Molecule: ribosomal RNA, 305 nt
Filed under: uncultured bacterium
Lineage: Bacteria
Description: bacterial SSU rRNA
Rfam family: Bacterial small subunit ribosomal RNA
Source: RNAcentral
UAGACCUACGGGGCGCAGCAGUGGGGGAUAUUGCACAAUGGGGGAAACCCUGAUGCAGCGACGCCGCGUGGGUGAAGAAGCGCCUCGGCGCGUAAAGCCCUGUCAGCAGGGAAGAAAAUGACGGUACCUGAAGAAGAAGCCCCGGCUAACUACGUGCCAGCAGCCGCGGUAAUACGUAGGGGGCAAGCGUUAUCCGGAUUUACUGGGUGUAAAGGGGGCGCAGGCGGUCCUGCAAGUCUGGAGUGAAACGCAUGAGCUCAACCCAUGCAUGGCUUUGGAAACUGGAGGAAUGGAGAGCAGGAGAG